Molecule: long non-coding RNA, 238 nt
Organism: Synchiropus splendidus (mandarinfish)
Lineage: Eukaryota; Metazoa; Chordata; Actinopteri; Syngnathiformes; Callionymidae
Exons: 3
Source: RefSeq, a predicted model, not a curated record
GUUCUUUGACAAAGUUUUUGAAACUGGAAUUCCUGAUAGCAUUUUUGACCAGGAUUGUUUUGUCUGCAGUCAUUUUCUUCCUGUUUCACCAAUACUUCAGUAAAAAGGAGUUUGGAAGGCCAGAAGAAACGGCUGAGAUGGAGAACAUGGCAGAUGAUCCACAGACAGAUGACGAUUAUCAGCAGGUGGACACUGAACUGGAAGAAUGAAGUCCAGAACCUGAACAUGGAGAGGGAGA